GGCACUGUAGUAUAGUGGUAGAGCAUCUGCUUUGCAUGCAGAAGAUUCCUAGUUCAGCAUCUCCAGGGAUACUAGGCUGAGAAUAUCCCA
Non-coding RNA from Podarcis lilfordi (Lilford's wall lizard), 90 nucleotides. Lineage: Eukaryota; Metazoa; Chordata; Lepidosauria; Squamata; Lacertidae. The record is from the annotation of a GenBank genome assembly.